RNAcentral lists this ribosomal RNA (253 nucleotides) under uncultured bacterium. RNAcentral's name for it is "partial 16S ribosomal RNA". It matches the Rfam family "Bacterial small subunit ribosomal RNA", at positions 524 to 776 of the family's 1533-position model. The record is from RNAcentral.
UACGUAGGGGGCAAGCGUUGUCCGGAAUCAUUGGGCGUAAAGAGCGUGUAGGCGGCCAGAUAAGUCCGCUGUGAAAUCUCGAGGCUCAACUUCGAGCUGUCGGUGGAAACUGUCUGGCUAGAGUCCGGAAGAGGAGAAUGGAAUUCCUAGUGUAGCGGUGAAAUGCGCAGAUAUCAGGAAGAACACCCGUGGCGAAGGCGGUUCUCUGGGACGGUACUGACGCUGAGACGCGAAAGCGUGGGGAGCGAACAGG